Non-coding RNA from Brassica napus (rape), 388 nucleotides. The record is from Rfam. Lineage: Eukaryota; Viridiplantae; Streptophyta; Magnoliopsida; Brassicales; Brassicaceae.
AAGUUGUUGCAGUUAAAAAGUUCGUAGUUGAACCUUGGGAUGGGUCACCCGGUCCGCCUUCGGUGAGCACCAGUCGGCUUGUCUCUUCUGUCGGUGAUAUGCUCCUGGCCUUAACUGGCCGGGUCGUGCCUCCGGCGCUGUUACUUUGAUGAAAUUAGAGUGCUGAAAGCAAGCCUACGCUCUAUAUACAUUAGUAUGGGAUAACAUCAUAGGAUUUAGAUCCUAUUGCGUUGGCCUUCAUUAUCGGAGUAAUGAUUAACAGGGACAGUCGGUGUGACACCCCCGAUCAUAGAUGACCAGAAAUGACACGGUCGAUGUUCCUCGAGGUUCUCAGAAUACUUCCAAUCGCCUUAGACCAACAACCAAAGAAUACCAACGCUCCUAUCGG